UACGAAGGGGCUAGCGUUGCUCGGAAUCACUGGGCGUAAAGGGUGCGUAGGCGGGUCUUAAGUCAGGGGUGAAAUCCUGGAGCUCAACUCCAGAACUGCCUUUGAUACUGAAGAUCUUGAGUUCGGGAGAGGUGAGUGGAACUGCGAGUGUAGAGGUGAAAAUUCGUAGAUAUUCGCAAGAACACCAGUGGCGAAGGCGGCUCACUGGCCCGGUACUGACGCUGAGGCACGAAAGCGUGGGGAGCAAACAGG
RNAcentral lists this ribosomal RNA (252 nucleotides) under uncultured bacterium. Its description in RNAcentral is "partial 16S ribosomal RNA". It matches the Rfam family "Bacterial small subunit ribosomal RNA", at positions 524 to 776 of the family's 1533-position model. The record is from RNAcentral.